This 510-nucleotide ribosomal RNA is filed under the name Triticum aestivum (bread wheat). RNAcentral describes it as "partial small subunit ribosomal RNA". The record is from RNAcentral. Lineage: Eukaryota; Viridiplantae; Streptophyta; Magnoliopsida; Poales; Poaceae.
AUGCGAGCGCAUCGAGACCUGGAGGGCGGAACGUGCAACCGCACACCUCCUGUCCAUGCGCAUCCAUCGACUCGGCUUCAGCUACUCGACGCCUCGCCUUCAACAACGGGUCACAGGCACCUACAUGAGCACUUCUGCAUCGCCGGGCUAUGGAUCUAUAUCUGCAUCAACCAGACCAACGACAUGCAUCUACGUAACCGAUCUUCAUCUGCAUUGACCCCGAGCCGAACGACAUCAACCUGUACGACUACGCCGGGCUAUGAGCGAACAUACUUCUUCAGCAUGGCGCGACAUCGACACUUCGUCACGCGGAGGGACGCCUUCCAGCGACGCAUCAUCGUCGACAUGCCGCUGCAAUGUUAUCGCCGACACUUCAUCGCCAAGGUCUUCAUCAACGUCGUCUUCACCAACAUCUUCAUCAACACACCGCCGCCGCCUCGUCCACAAGAUGGGCACCUAGCGUCCUCUGACAGACUUGUCUGCAAGACGCGACCUCGACGACGGCAAUGA